GUGAUCAGACUACACUGAAACACUUACUGUGUGUGCUAGUCAACAUGUAACUGUAAUCCUGUGCUUCAGAUGGCGCCACAUUAUAGUGAUGCCGAGCAAAGAGUCACUUUAAAAAUAGAAAGACGCACACUUUGUGAGCCACCAAUCACAGAUGUGGAUGAAACUCUCAGAAACCUCUCUUUACUGUCAGCUGACUUCAGCACAGACAGAAGGAGCUGCACCAGUGCCAAAGGAGCCUCAAAUGGCCCACAGCUCAACAGACACAAAGACACAUAACAAACAACAUGCGGGAGAUUGCCUUGUCAAUACUGAUUCUUGGAGAGAUUCUGCAGGUGUCACUAGAGCUCAUCCACCCGGGGAAAAUCGCAGCCAACAAAGAAGUGGUCCAAGAAGGCGAGACGGUCACCCUGAAAUGUCUGCUCACUGCUUAUCACCGCAGACAACACGAGCAGUACAGGGUCUACCUGCUGCAGAACGGGCGACAGGUCCAGCAUGACAUGGGCUCUAGCAGUCUGGGUGGUGCCAAUUUCAAGAUAGAACAAGUCACCUUGGAGAAGGCUGGACGUUACGAAUGUGUCUACAGCCAGGAGAGUGUGGAGCUGCUGCAAGGGGCAGCCGGGAGCAAUUCAGUAAACCUCGAGGUGAAAGAGCUGCACAGUUUUCUCACCCUAAAGGAAGAAAAACAUAAAACACCCCGAGGCCUGGAUGCCAUCUUUAAAUGCAUCAUACCCCAUGAGAAAAGAGAAAUUAUAUUAACAAAGCCCGAUGGGGGCUAUUUUGAACUUUACCGGGAUAAGGUGCUACUAUCCCGACAGCAGAUGCAGAGCAUACCGGCCGUAAAUUUCUACUUUAAAAACAUUACCCAAACUUUUGUGGGCUCCUAUGAAUGCGUUUACAGAACUGACAGCAACUUCACUAGGAGGAGUCGGCCCGUCUUCUUCACUUACGCAGAAGCAGAGAAUGUAACCGAAAGCAACACCUCAGGAGAAACAAGCUCAGGAUAUGCAACAUUCUUUCCCUACCUAGAUUAACCACACAUUCAACAUUAAUUUCCGCAAGCUCACUUCAGUUUAUGGGACAGAUUUAGCCAUUACGUGUGUGAACAGCCAUAAACAAUCCAGACUCGUGCAUCACCUUCCCAGCAGUACCUUUGAGCUUUACAGGAACGGAGGGCUGGUUUCUUCACAGGCUACUGGAAACUCCUCAACCGGCAUCUUCUACUUGAAAAACAUCAACCAAAGCCACAGUGGAAAUUAUCAAUGUGCUUACAGAGAAACUCCAGGCCUGAGCCAACGGAGUCCCUCAAUUUAUUUUGAAAUCACAGAAUCCUAUCUUCUAGGAAAUGUAAUCCGGCUGGUCUUCACUGGUCUGGCACUCAUUCUGAUGCUUUGCUUCGUGGUUGAAGCUUUC
Polypterus senegalus (gray bichir) is the source of this 1410-nucleotide RNA transcript. RefSeq lists it as uncharacterized. The record is from RefSeq and is a predicted model, not a curated record. The transcript is spliced from 7 exons. Lineage: Eukaryota; Metazoa; Chordata; Cladistia; Polypteriformes; Polypteridae.